GACGAACGCUGGCGGCGUGCUUAACACAUGCAAGUCGAACGGAAAGGCCCUGCUUUUGUGGGGUGCUCGAGUGGCGAACGGGUGAGUAACACGUGAGUAACCUGCCCUUGACUUUGGGAUAACUUCAGGAAAAUGGGGCUAAUACCGGAUAGGAGCUCCUGCUGCAUGGUGGGGGUUGGAAAGUUUCGGCGGUUGGGGAUAGACUCGCGGCUUAUCCGCUUGUUGGUGGGGUAGUGGCUUACCAAGGUUUUGACGGGUAGCCGGCCUGAGAGGGUGACCGGCCACAUUGGGACUGAGAGACGGCCCAGACGCCUACGGGAGGCAGCAGUGGGGAAUAUUGCACAAUGGGCGGAAGCCUGAUGCAGCAACGCCGCGUGCGGGAUGACGGCCUUCGGGUUGUAAACCGCUUUCUCCUGUGACGAAGCGUGAGUGACGGUAAUGGGUAAAGAAGCACCGGCUAACUACGUG
Molecule: ribosomal RNA, 468 nt
Filed under: uncultured bacterium
Lineage: Bacteria
Description: partial 16S ribosomal RNA
Rfam family: Bacterial small subunit ribosomal RNA
Source: RNAcentral